UGGGGAAUUUUGGACAAUGGGCGAAAGCCUGAUCCAGCAAUGCCGCGUGUGUGAAGAAGGCCUUCGGGUUGUAAAGCACUUUUGUCCGGAAAGAAAUCCUUGGCUCUAAUACAGUCGGGGGAUGACGGUACCGGAAGAAUAAGCACCGGCUAACUACGUGCCAGCAGCCGCGGUAAUACGUAGGGUGCAAGCGUUAAUCGGAAUUACUGGGCGUAAAGCGUGCGCAGGCGGUUUGCUAAGACCGAUGUGAAAUCCCCGGGCUCAACCUGGGAACUGCAUUGGUGACUGGCAGGCUAGAGUAUGGCAGAGGGGGGUAGAAUUCCACGUGUAGCAGUGAAAUGCGUAGAGAUGUGGAGGAAUACCGAUGGCGAAGGCAGCCCCCUGGGCCAAUACUGACGCUCAUGCACGAAAGCGUGGGGAGCAAAACAGGAUUAGAUACCCUGGUAGUCCACGCCCUAAAACGAUGUCAACUAGUUGUUGGGGAUUCAUUUCCUUAGUAACGUACUAACGCGUGAAGUUGACCGCUGGGGAGUACGGUCGCAAGAUUAAAACUCAAAGGAAUUGACGGGGUCAUAGCUGUUUCCU
This 585-nucleotide ribosomal RNA is filed under the name uncultured bacterium. RNAcentral's name for it is "partial 16S ribosomal RNA". It matches the Rfam family "Bacterial small subunit ribosomal RNA", at positions 355 to 1375 of the family's 1533-position model. The record is from RNAcentral.